ACCCAAUGCUACUCUGGUUAAAGAAGUAAAUCUAAUUAAAAGAGCAUGGGGAAUGGAAGCUGCUUUGUGAGUUAGAGAGACUGGCUCUGUGCAUCUGUCACCAUCGACUGGGCUACAAGAUGGAAAAUUCCAUAGACUGCCAGGCAAAGUGCUCUCAAUGUUGUUGGAACAUCUGCUUUUCGUGGUGUAAAAUCUCUUCCAUGGGGCAGAGUGGACAGUGAGAGAGAGAGACAGAGAGAAACGUCUUCCUUUGCCGUUGGUUCACCUUCCAAUGGCCACCGCAGCCGGCACGCUGCGCCCGGCGCACCACGCUGAUCCAAUGGGAGGAGCCAGUUCACAUUAAGGAGAGAGUGUCCAGCUGACCUAGCUUAAGGAAUGCAUCUGCCCAUCCCCUAAGGGAAGUCAAGCUACCUGCUCAACAUGGGCUCCUCAGACUCCAGCUAAAAGUCCAGAAAAAGAACCAGAAUGAAGUCCUCAGAGCUUGUCUAGGUGACGCUCACAGCUUGGGCUUGGGUUUCCAACACGGGUCAGCUGCUUCGAACUCACUUCAAAUCCUCAGCUUCCUGACCCAGAGCUGUUCUACAUGACUAAUAUCUGCCCAGGGGACCAAAAGCCAGAGUGGAGCCACGUUGAGUCACUUUCCUGAUCAGUCCUUAAGGUUCACAUCAUCUGGGCCUCGUUGAGUAUUCUUUUUCAAUAUUGGCAGACGUAACUGAUCUGGCAUUAGAAAAAUUGGUUUUACAUGUGUUGUGAGCAAGCAAUGGUUUUCUGAUUAAACAGAAUUAUCUUGCAUGUAUAAAUGAGGGACAUAAUUACACUCAAAACUGAAACCAAUUGUCAAGAUGUCUGUGUUUGGCUUGGAAUGGCUGUAGCGUAAAUCCAGCCAUGGAACUCUCGGAGCAGUAAUGAGACUAUCAAACAGGCCAUGCACUGUGUCGUCACUUCAUCGGCAUUUGUGUUUGUUAUGACUUGACUCAGAGUCUCAGGAACUUGUUCCUUCUUUACCUAUUCGAUCAAUUUAUUCUUCUAGGAGCCUACAAUAUAAAUCUUUUCUUAACUAAAAUAGGUUUUGGACUUCAGUUCACAUCAUUCAUCCUUGAUUUGUGUCGAGGUCACCACCUAUGAGCAUACGUGAGUCAGGUGAAAUGAAUUCAUUUAGCCAUUCAUUUGCUUUUCAUCAAACGUAUUGAUAUCAUGUUGAUAAUUUCUAGGAACAUGAAGAAAAGCUGUUCUAAAAACUCAGUUCUCAAAUUUCUCAUGACAUGAGAGAGGAAAUAAUGUCUAUACCCAACAGUGAAAUAUACUUUGUAGAAGUCAUAUUUAUGCAUUAUAUGUGUGCGUGAUUGUUUUUGUCUUUUCAGGGAACACUAUGAAUAAAGCUAUUAUUAUCACCCAUCACCUGCUGAAAGAACACUUCUGGGCGUGUCUUCAGGAUAAUGCAGCUUCAUUAUUAUAUAUAAUUAGUAAAGAUAAUGUCCUUACUACACUAUCUUACUCAGAUUAUCCACUCCCAUAAUACUUUUCACAUCACAGUUCACAAAACAAUGCACAACAGAAGUUCCUCAUUUAGGGUCGUAAAAAGUGCAAAAGUUCAAACUAUGCAGAGCAUUCAUUAUUAGCAAAUGUGUAUAUUGGGCUCCUAUCUUGUGUCAUGCAAAUAGGAAUGAGCAGUUCUUCCCUUGCACAUCUAGAGAAUGCAGGCAUGAGGGGAGAGAGGUAUUAUACAAACAACUACAUAAUAAUUAAAUAUUGAGCAAGAUGAACAAUGGAAGUGUAUAACUAAGGAUAGGGGAAAAGGGACAGCCUCCCAAGGAAUACCAUGGUGAAUAGUCUGAAAGGUGAGUGUGAUGUUGUCAAGGAAUGCCUAUGUGAAGAAAGUGCCUGGCAGGGAACAACACGUGCGAAAGUCCCAGAGCAGCCACUACAGCUUUCUUUAUCAGGAACCAGAGGAGGCUGGUGUGUUGAGGUUAGAAUGCCAGUGUGGAAAUGGUGUACCCUGGGCUUGGGAGAGUAGGCAAGAAGCAGGUCAUGGAAGGCCCUGCAGGCCCAGUGAGUAGGUAAGGUUCAGCACGGCUAUGCUGCAGUAAUAAACAGUAAUAAACAGCCCCCACACCUCAGGGACAUGGGGAAGCCACGUGCUCUAGCUUACAUACUGGACACACUGAAAUGGGGUUAUGAUGGUGCAUAGAAGACUUUGGCCCUUCAUAAAUAUUCAUGGGAGCUGGGAUGUGGAGAGAAACACACGGGAGGACCUCAUGCUUCGAGUUGCCAUGACUUAUCACUUCAUUGUGAUUCCAUCGAUGAAGAUCAGUUCAUAGGGGGCAUCUACCAGGAUGCCAACACAUUUUGAAUUAUAUCUUAAUUCUGUGCCCAACAGAGACAAAUGAGGUGGUGGGGCUCUAUCCAGUCUCUACGAAGCCUUGGUUGGAUAUGAAAAGACUUUAUAUUUUGUCCUACUCUUAGCUGAGCAGGGAGGGCAGUGAUUUUGCUAUGUUCUCAAUUUUCGUGUCCUCCCCAAAUUCCUAUGUUGAAAUCCUAGCACAGAAAAUAAAGGUUUUAGCAGGUGAGGCCUUGGGGGAGCUGAUUAGAUCCUGAGAGUAGAAAUCUUGCGAGUGUGGUUCGUGUUUCUACAAAGGAGUCUCCAGGAGCUCAGUUCUGCUUCUGCGUUGUGACAACAAGUCAAUAAGGGUCUGGUAUGAGCCGAUAAGUAAGUGCUCACCAGAAAUGCACCUGCUGGUCUUGGGUUCCUGGCUUCCAGUCUCCAGAACUGUAAAGAAUCAAUGUAUGACUUUCAGAAGCCACACAUUCUACAAUAUUUGGUGAUAGCAGUGUGAAUGGACCGAGAAAAUCCAAUUCCAAUUUUCAUGUAAUUGCUCUACCAUUAGGGUGAACAGCGGAAUUGACUGGCAUCAACCAACCUCUAAAGAAAAAUCAUCUAGACCAAUUUUACUUAUUUUUCCUUUCAGGAAACAACUAAGUCUUAUGUCUCCAUCUUCCAUUUCUGAGAAACUAAAACUUGAAAAUGACUUUGUUAUAAAAUCCCACAGGAGGAUAAAAUAAUUCUUGUUGAAAUUGAGUCCACAAUUUGAAAACAAUAACAAAAUAGAUAAACAAAACUCUCCUAGUGGGACAGGCAUUUUCUGCUCUGAUAGUUGGGAUGCCUAAAUCCUGUACUUGAGCCUGGGGUUGAGUUCUGGCUCCACUCCUAAUUCCAGUUUCCUGCUAAUGUGCUUCCUCGGAGGCAGCAGGUGACGGCUCAAGUACUUGGGUCCCUGCCACUAUCUGGGAAUUCUGGGUGAAAUUUUUGGCUCCUGACACCAGUCUAGCCCAGGGCUAGCUGUGGCAGUCAUCCGAGGAAUGAACCAGUGGAUGGGAAAUCUUUCUCCUCCCUCUCUCUCUCCCUGCUCCCUUAAUCUCUCUCAUUCUCUGCAUUUCAAACAGAAUGAAAAAUUUAAAUGCUUAUUUAUUUAUUUGAAAUGCCAGAGCUCAGCUCAGAGAGAUAGAGAGAAAUAUCUUUCAUCUGCUGGUUUAUUGCUGAAAUGGCCACAAUGAUUGGAGUCAGUCCAGGCUGAUGGUAGGAAUGAGGAGCUCCAUCCAGGUCUCCUACAUGGAUGGCAGGGGACCAAGCCCUUGGUACAUCUUCUAUUGCUUUCCCACACACAUUAGCAGUGAUCAGGACCAGAAACGGGGAAGCUGGGACUCAAACUGGCACUCCAAUGUGGGAUGCUGCAAACAGUGGACUAACCCUCUGCACCAUGAUGGCAGCCCCACCUAAAACUCCACUUAGGUUAGGAAACACAACAAACAAGGUUUGGGGCCCCAGUAAAUAAACAAUGGUGCUUAAAAUUUUAAACAUAGUUAACAUAGUUUCAAAACAUAUAAGUAAGGAAUAAAAUGGCAGACCAACCAAACACCGCUAGUAUGCAAAAUGUAGGCAGAAAGUACAAAGCAAAAUUACAAUUGUAAAAUUUAAUCCCUAGAAUAAAAAAUAGCAUUCAAUGGAGUUAAUAACAAGUUGACAUGAGCAAAAUGUGCAUUAUUGACUUUAUUGGAUUAUGCAUGUCUAAAAUCCAGGGUGAAAAAAGAGAUGGAGAGUGUGAGGACCUGAGGAAGUACAGUGACAGCGACAGGAGUAGGGGCAGUGUUAGGGAAAAAACAACGCUUUGGCAUCUCACAAAGGAGUGCUACUGGCGAGCAUGAGAAUGAAACGCAAUAAAUCAGAAUGAGUGCUACACCGGACGUGUAGUAAAACUUCAGAACACUAAAGAAAGGAAAAUCUUGAACACAACCAUGGAGAAUAGGCAAACCACCUGCAAAUGCAUACUCACCUGUUACAUUGAUCUUCAACUUCUCACAACAGAGGACGAUAAAAUUUUCUUAUUCCUCUUUCUGCUUGUAUUUCUUCAAGUAGCUACAGAACCCACAAUUCUCAUGGCAUCUGCAGCAAGAAAGUGAAAAACAGCAAAAUCUCCAGAAAAUGUGCUAUUGAAGUGUAGAAAUGAAUGGGUAUGCACUCACAGGCCCUAAGGUGUGUUAUUUUUAUUAACAUUUGUAUUGUCAUCUAACAUUGUCAAUGUUUAUUUUCAGGUUUUAUGCACUAUGGUUUCCGGCACAGCAUACACCUAUGAUUAUGUUAAGGUGUGUGUGUUUGUGUGUGUUUGUGUGUGUAUUCUUUUCAUAUCUGAGAGCUAAUGUUUUGUAUUAAUGGCAACGCUAUAGAAAGGCAUUAGAUCUGAUAUUCAUUAAAUAUUCAUCACCAUAACAUCUCCCAGCCAUUGUUCCCCCUUUUGUAAGCUUCUUUCAAUGCCUCCAUUUAAAAAAAAAAAAAAGUGUACCUUUUUUUUUUUUGAAAGGCAGAGUGACACAGAGAGGCAGAGAUAGGGAGAGAAAGAGAGAGAGAGAGAUCUUCCAUCUGUUGGGUCACCCCCUAAAUGUCCCACCACACCUUGCCCCUGUGUUAGCAAUGACGUCCUCUUCUGAGUGCGAGUUCUGGAUUGUUUGUGUCCAAUCUGGAAUGAAUUAGCUGAUGUGUGGCUGGGACAAUUUCAGUGCAAUCCCUUUUGAUUGUCUCCAUGGGCCUGGUAAGACAUGACAACACCAAGUCACUUGUAAAAUCCUAUGGCCUAGAAGAGGGGAUUAGCAGACAGGAAGAGGUGGCCAAGGAAAAUUAGAAACACAUUUUAAACUUCUUUCAUUGUACUUCUCUUCUCCAAGGCUGAGACGGUGAAUCACAGGUUAUUUAAUUUCCACUGCCAAGCAGGAGGGUGAAUAGUGUGAAUCAGUAGUGUUGAGACGAGUAACACACAAGGAGACAAAUGUCUCAGGUGACAGAGUCAGUGUCCAACUUUCAAAACAUUCUGUAAUUGCCUCAAAUAUCGGAUGCCUGAAACAGUGUCCCUUUUGGUGGCCUUUCUGCAUACAAAUUGUUGAUCUUUACAUGCAGUCACUGUCAUCCCAUCCUAGAAAACUGUUUUAGUAACUUUACCCAAUGUGGUUCUGGAUAGACUAGAAGAACACCAGAUCUUUAGAACAUGUAACACUUCGAAUGUAACACUAACUCUAAAUGGUGAGUUCAUCCAGUGGACAGGACCGUGCUCACAUAGCUGGGUCACGUCAGCCAACAGGGCUGAGGGCAGUCAGCAUGUGUCAUGCUGUACUCCGAGAGGGAUACACACUGGAACAAAAAUGCUCCUAAGGAAACAUUUGAUUUUUUUUUUUUUUGAAAGGGAGAUGUAGGUGUUUGUGGAGACAGAUACCUCUGCUGUUGAUGCAAACUCCAUUUCUCCUUUCCUUCUUUCUGAAUGAUUUUCCAUUUUGUUGGGGGCACAGCAUCAUCAGAUGAAAACUACAUGACUCAGGUGUUGGCCGGCAGUUAAGAUGCCAGUGAAGACAUCCACAUCCAAAGUCAGAGUGUCCAGGUUCCACUGCCAGGUCUGGCUCUGGAUUCCAGCUUCCUGCUAAAGCAGGCUCUGGGAGGCAGCAGUAAGGAUCCGGGAACUGGGCUCCUGCUCCUGUGUGAGGAGACCUGGAUAGAGUUCUGAGUCUCUGGUUUUAUCCUCGUUCAAUUCUGGCUGUUGUGGGCACUUGGAGCAGUGAGUCAGCAAAUGUGAGCUUUGUCUUUCUCUGUUUCUGUCUCCACCUGUCUCUCUGUCCCUCUUCCUUCC
This is a non-coding RNA of Oryctolagus cuniculus (rabbit), 6164 nucleotides long. Lineage: Eukaryota; Metazoa; Chordata; Mammalia; Lagomorpha; Leporidae. The record is from RefSeq and is a predicted model, not a curated record.